This 465-nucleotide ribosomal RNA is filed under the name uncultured Klebsiella sp. RNAcentral's name for it is "bacterial SSU rRNA". It matches the Rfam family "Bacterial small subunit ribosomal RNA", at positions 338 to 795 of the family's 1533-position model. The record is from RNAcentral. Lineage: Bacteria; Pseudomonadati; Pseudomonadota; Gammaproteobacteria; Enterobacterales; Enterobacteriaceae.
CCUACGGGGGGCUGCAGUGGGGAAUAUUGCACAAUGGGCGCAAGCCUGAUGCAGCCAUGUCGCGUGUGUGAAGAAGGCCUUCGGGUUGUAAAGCACUUUCAGCGGGGAGGAAGGCGUUAAGGUUAAUAACCUUGGCGAUUGACGUUACCCGCAGAAGAAGCACCGGCUAACUCCGUGCCAGCAGCCGCGGUAAUACGGAGGGUGCAAGCGUUAAUCGGAAUUACUGGGCGUAAAGCGCACGCAGGCGGUCUGUCAAGUCGGAUGUGAAAUCCCCGGGCUCAACCUGGGAACUGCAUUCGAAACUGGCAGGCUAGAGUCUUGUAGAGGGGGGUAGAAUUCCAGGUGUAGCGGUGAAAUGCGUAGAGAUCUGGAGGAAUACCGGUGGCGAAGGCGGCCCCCUGGACAAAGACUGACGCUCAGGUGCGAAAGCGUGGGGAGCAAACAGGAUUAGAUACCCGAGUAGUC